Molecule: transfer RNA, 72 nt
Filed under: Candidatus Ancillula prorhinotermitis
Lineage: Bacteria; Bacillati; Actinomycetota; Actinomycetes; Bifidobacteriales; Bifidobacteriaceae
Description: tRNA-Lys
Rfam family: tRNA
About the family: Transfer RNA (tRNA) molecules are approximately 80 nucleotides in length.
Source: RNAcentral
GCCCCUAUAGCUCAGUGGUAGAGCUACGGCCUUUUAAGCCGCAGGUCCUAGGUUCGAAUCCUAGUGGGGGCA